GAGACAGCGAUGCAUAAGGAGGAAUUUCAUCUGAAAUUUUUCAUGUGUGUGAUUCAAUCUCGCGGGUUAGUCAGGACUCCUCAGAGCACAGGGAGAGAAGCUUCAACUUCCAGCAUGCUCAUACAAAAGCCACCACCUGAGAUAGACAACAUGAAGUAUCUACAUGCUACGGAUGGUCCAGACACUGUGGAAGGCAUACCUAUUUUGAAAACUGAGUGGAUCAUGACCCAUGAAGAGCACCAUGCAGCCAAAACCCUGGGGAUUGGCAAAGCCAUCGCCGUGUUAACCUCUGGUGGAGAUGCCCAAGGUAUGAAUGCUGCUGUCAGGGCUGUGGUUCGAGUUGGUAUCUUUACUGGUGCCCGUGUGUUCUUUGUCCAUGAGGGUUAUCAAGGCCUGGUGGAUGGUGGAGAUAACAUCAGGGAAGCCACCUGGGAGAGUGUGUCGAUGAUGCUUCAGCUGGGAGGCACAGUCAUUGGAAGUGCCCGGUGCAAGGACUUCCGUGAACGAGAGGGACGACUCCGCGCUGCCCACAACCUGGUGAAGCGUGGGAUUACUAAUCUGUGUGUCAUCGGAGGUGAUGGCAGCCUCACUGGGGCUGACACCUUCCGUUCUGAGUGGAGUGACUUACUGAGUGACCUCCAGAAAGCGGGUAAGAUCACAGCGGAGGAGGCUACGAAGUCCAGCUAUCUGAAUAUCGUGGGUUUGGUGGGCUCAAUUGACAAUGACUUUUGUGGCACUGAUAUGACCAUUGGCACUGAUUCCGCCCUGCACCGGAUCAUAGAGAUUGUGGACGCCAUCACCACCACUGCUCAGAGCCACCAGAGGACAUUUGUGCUAGAAGUGAUGGGCCGGCACUGUGGAUACCUGGCCCUCGUCACCUCUCUCUCCUGUGGGGCUGACUGGGUUUUUAUUCCUGAGUGUCCACCGGAUGACAACUGGGAGGAACAUCUUUGUCGCCGGCUCAGCGAGACAAGGACCCGUGGUUCUCGUCUCAACAUCAUCAUUGUGGCUGAGGGUGCCAUCGACAAGACUGGGAAACCCAUAAGCUCAGAAGACAUCAAGAAUCUGGUGGUGAAGCGUCUGGGAUAUGACACCCGGGUCACUGUCUUGGGGCAUGUGCAGCGGGGUGGGACACCAUCAGCCUUUGACCGGAUCCUGGGCAGCAGGAUGGGUGUGGAGGCAGUGAUGGCACUUUUGGAAGGGACUCCAGACACCCCAGCCUGUGUGGUGAGCCUCUCUGGGAACCAGGCUGUGCGCCUGCCCCUCAUGGAGUGUGUCCAAAUGACCAAAGAUGUGACCAAGGCCAUGAACGACAGGAAAUUUGAUGAAGCCUUGAAGCUGAGAGGCCGGAGCUUCAUGAACAACUGGGAAGUGUACAAGCUUCUGGCUCAUGUCAGACCCCCAGUCUCUAAGGGACCGAGUAGCAUACACACAGUGGCCGUGAUGAACGUGGGGGCCCCAGCCGCAGGCAUGAACGCUGCCGUCCGUUCCACCGUGAGGAUUGGCCUCAUCCAGGGCAACCGGGUGCUGGUUGUACAUGAUGGCUUCGAGGGCCUGGCCAAGGGUCAGAUCGAGGAAGCUGGCUGGAGCUAUGUUGGGGGCUGGACUGGCCAAGGUGGUUCCAAACUUGGGACUAAAAGGACUCUACCCAAGAAGAGCUUUGAGCAGAUCAGUGCCAACAUCACUAAGUUUAACAUUCAGGGCCUUGUCAUCAUUGGGGGCUUUGAGGCUUACACAGGGGGCCUGGAACUGAUGGAGGGCAGGAAGCUGUUUGAUGAGCUGUGCAUCCCGUUUGUGGUCAUCCCCGCGACGGUCUCCAACAACGUCCCCGGCUCGGACUUCAGCGUGGGGACUGACACAGCACUCAAUACUAUCUGCACGACCUGUGACCGCAUCAAGCAGUCAGCGGCAGGCACCAAGCGUCGGGUGUUUAUCAUCGAAACGAUGGGUGGCUACUGUGGCUACCUGGCCACCAUGGCAGGACUGGCAGCUGGGGCCGAUGCUGCCUACAUUUUUGAGGAGCCCUUCACCAUUCGGGACCUACAGGCAAAUGUUGAACAUCUGGUGCAUAAGAUGAAAACCACUGUGAAAAGGGGCUUGGUGUUAAGGAAUGAGAAGUGCAAUGAGAACUACACCACGGACUUCAUCUUCAACCUGUACUCUGAGGAGGGGAAGGGCAUAUUUGACAGCAGGAAGAAUGUGCUUGGGCACAUGCAGCAGACUUUUGCCAAAUGUCCCCUGGGGGGCAAAAUCAUCUCCAGUUGAGAACCACUAAUUCAGAUGAAGAAAAUGAGGCCCAGACGGGAGAAACAACUUUUUUAGGGCCGCUCAUCAAACUUGGGUGAGAGCCAGAAUGCACUCCAGUGCUCUUCCCAGCAUGCCACGCUGCCUUCCUGUGCAAGAAGUACAGCCACCUUGCUGGUGUUGGGCUCUGUCUGCACUAACCGGGGUUUCCGGGGGAAACGAAUUCCCUUCUGCUAUCCACAUUCAAUCCCCACCUACGGCAGGCCUCGCUCACAGACGGUACUGGUGGUCUUAGGCCUCCCCAUCCCAAAGCUGAUUCUGCUUAAGUAUGGACCUUUGACCGUUGUCUACCUACCUAUGAAUUCCCAGUAUCCUCAACUUGAAUGAGCUUAUUAGCCCCUGCAGGAAUGGGGUCUGACUGGAUAAAGCAUGGCGAUCUAUUCCCCACUUUCCCACCUCCUUUCACUUAGUUCAGAGAAAAUCUGCAUGAUGUUUUAUAUUAUUCUGAGGUGCUACCAAGGACAUCUAUGUUGGUUCACAAGGAACACUUUUGUCGAUGAUGGUGACUGACAAAAGCUGCUAGGCUGAAGAGGGGCAAGGAGGCGACUGGCCAAUCAGACUGGAAGUGAAUGAACAGGAUCUGGCAGCUGUGGAGCUAGAGGCGGCGGUUGUGAGACCAGGGUGGAAGCCCAACUCCGUUUGACAGAAAUUUUGCCACUAAGAUGGGUGCCAAGGCUAUGAACUGGAUGUCUGGGAAAAUCAAAGAGAGUUACCGUAAUGGGAGGAUCUUCGCCAAUA
This is an RNA transcript of Acinonyx jubatus (cheetah), 3042 nucleotides long. It is a transcript of the gene named phosphofructokinase, muscle, with no coding region annotated. NCBI's taxonomy places the organism in Eukaryota, Metazoa, Chordata, Mammalia, Carnivora, Felidae. The record is from RefSeq and is a predicted model, not a curated record. The transcript is spliced from 24 exons.